UUCCCUGUAGCUCAGUUGGUAGAGCAUGUACAGAACUGUGAAGAAUGUUCCCUAAUUGUGGUGAUAUUUACAGUUACUUCAGAUUUGUAAUCUCAGGGUCCUUGGUUCGAGUCCAAGCAGGGAAG
This 125-nucleotide transfer RNA is filed under the name Crassvirales sp. RNAcentral describes it as "tRNA-Thr". It matches the Rfam family "tRNA". From Rfam's summary of the family: Transfer RNA (tRNA) molecules are approximately 80 nucleotides in length. Their secondary structure includes four short double-helical elements and three loops (D, anti-codon, and T loops). Lineage: Duplodnaviria; Heunggongvirae; Uroviricota; Caudoviricetes; Crassvirales. The record is from RNAcentral.